CCCCUUUGCUCGCGCCUCUUCAAGAUCCGCAAAAACCCUAGAAACCGCCAAACUCCCUCAACAAAGGGAGGCGAGAGAAAGAGCAAUCAACGCAGUAGAAGAAAAAUCAAGAAAAAGUACUCUCUUCACUCUCACCUCUUUUCUCUUUGCGAUCUGAAUCUAAAAGCUUAGGUGACAAAUUGUCAAUGGCAUCUUCAGACCAAGUCCCUUCUGGAAUUGUAGCACCUACUCCCGAUGUUGUUGGGAAUGCAUUUGUCCAUCAAUACUACCUUAUCUUACAUCAAUCUCCAGAAUUGGUUCACCGAUUUUACCAUGAUAGUAGUAAACUUUGUCGACCUGAAGAAAAUGGUAUCAUGAGUAU
Hibiscus syriacus is the source of this 361-nucleotide long non-coding RNA. RefSeq lists it as uncharacterized. The transcript is spliced from 3 exons. NCBI's taxonomy places the organism in Eukaryota, Viridiplantae, Streptophyta, Magnoliopsida, Malvales, Malvaceae. The record is from RefSeq and is a predicted model, not a curated record.